AGGGAAAGGCGAAAAGAACCCCGGCGAGGGGAGUGAAAAAGAACCUGAAACCGUGUACGUACAAGCAGUGGGAGCCUCUUUAUGGGGUGACUGCGUACCUUUUGUAUAAUGGGUCAGCGACUUAUAUUCUGUAGCAAGGUUAACCGAAUAGGGGAGCCGAAGGGAAACCGAGUCUUAACUGGGCGUUAAGUUGCAGGGUAUAGACCCGAAACCCGGUGAUCUAGCCAUGGGCAGGUUGAAGGUUGGGUAACACUAACUGGAGGACCGAACCGACUAAUGUUGAAAAAUUAGCGGAUGACUUGUGGCUGGGGGUGAAAGGCCAAUCAAACCGGGAGAUAGCUGGUUCUCCCCGAAAGCUAUUUAGGUAGCGCCUCGUGAAUUCAUCUCCGGGGGUAGAGCACUGUUUCGGCAAGGGGGUCAUCCCGACUUACCAACCCGAUGCAAACUGCGAAUACCGGAGAAUGUUAUCACGGGAGACACACGGCGGGUGCUAACGUCCGUCGUGAAGAGGGAAACAACCCAGACCGCCAGCUAAGGUCCCAAAGUCAUGGUUAAGUGGGAAACGAUGUGGGAAGGCCCAGACAGCCAGGAUGUUGGCUUAGAAGCAGCCAUCAUUUAAAGAAAGCGUAAUAGCUCACUGGUCGAGUCGGCCUGCGCGGAAGAUGUAACGGGGCUAAACCAUGCACCGAAGCUGCGGCAGCGACACUAUGUGUUGUUGGGUAGGGGAGCGUUCUGUAAGCCUGUGAAGGUGGCCUGUGAGGGUUGCUGGAGGUAUCAGAAGUGCGAAUGCUGACAUAAGUAACGAUAAAGCGGGUGAAAAGCCCGCUCGCCGGAAGACCAAGGGUUCCUGUCCAACGUUAAUCGGGGCAGGGUGAGUCGACCCCUAAGGCGAGGCCGAAAGGCGUAGUCGAUGGGAAACAGGUUAAUAUUCCUGUACUUGGUGUUACUGCGAAGGGGGGACGGAGAAGGCUAUGUUGGCCGGGCGACGGUUGUCCCGGUUUAAGCGUGUAGGCUGGUUUUCCAGGCAAAUCCGGAAAACCAAGGCUGAGGCGUGAUGACGAGGCACUACGGUGCUGAAGCGACAAAUGCCCUGCUUCCAGGAAAAGCCUCUAAGCAUCAGGUAACAUCAAAUCGUACCCCAAACCGACACAGGUGGUCAGGUAGAGAAUACCAAGGCGCUUGAGAGAACUCGGGUGAAGGAACUAGGCAAAAUGGUGCCGUAACUUCGGGAGAAGGCACGCUGAUAUGUAGGUGAAGCGACUUGCUCGUGGAGCUGAAAUCAGUCGAAGAUACCAGCUGGCUGCAACUGUUUAUUAAAAACACAGCACUGUGCAAACACGAAAGUGGACGUAUACGGUGUGACGCCUGCCCGGUGCCGGAAGGUUAAUUGAUGGGGUUAGCGGUAACGCGAAGCUCUUGAUCGAAGCCCCGGUAAACGGCGGCCGUAACUAUAACGGUCCUAAGGUAGCGAAAUUCCUUGUCGGGUAAGUUCCGACCUGCACGAAUGGCGUAAUGAUGGCCAGGCUGUCUCCACCCGAGACUCAGUGAAAUUGAACUCGCUGUGAAGAUGCAGUGUACCCGCGGCAAGACGGAAAGACCCCGUGAACCUUUACUAUAGCUUGACACUGAACAUUGAGCCUUGAUGUGUAGGAUAGGUGGGAGGCUUUGAAGUGUGGACGCCAGUCUGCAUGGAGCCGACCUUGAAAUACCACCCUUUAAUGUUUGAUGUUCUAACGUUGGCCCGUAAUCCGGGUUGCGGACAGUGUCUGGUGGGUAGUUUGACUGGGGCGGUCUCCUCCUAAAGAGUAACGGAGGAGCACGAAGGUUGGCUAAUCCUGGUCGGACAUCAGGAGGUUAGUGCAAUGGCAUAAGCCAGCUUGACUGCGAGCGUGACGGCGCGAGCAGGUGCGAAAGCAGGUCAUAGUGAUCCGGUGGUUCUGAAUGGAAGGGCCAUCGCUCAACGGAUAAAAGGUACUCCGGGGAUAACAGGCUGAUACCGCCCAAGAGUUCAUAUCGACGGCGGUGUUUGGCACCUCGAUGUCGGCUCAUCACAUCCUGGGGCUGAAGUAGGUCCCAAGGGUAUGGCUGUUCGCCAUUUAAAGUGGUACGCGAGCUGGGUUUAGAACGUCGUGAGACAGUUCGGUCCCUAUCUGCCGUGGGCGCUGGAGAACUGAGGGGGGCUGCUCCUAGUACGAGAGGACCGGAGUGGACGCAUCACUGGUGUUCGGGUUGUCAUGCCAAUGGCACUGCCCGGUAGCUAAAUGCGGAAGAGAUAAGUGCUGAAAGCAUCUAAGCACGAAACUUGC
This 2306-nucleotide ribosomal RNA is filed under the name Escherichia coli. RNAcentral describes it as "partial 23S ribosomal RNA". It matches the Rfam family "Bacterial large subunit ribosomal RNA", at positions 506 to 2797 of the family's 2925-position model. Lineage: Bacteria; Pseudomonadati; Pseudomonadota; Gammaproteobacteria; Enterobacterales; Enterobacteriaceae. The record is from RNAcentral.